This 332-nucleotide unclassified non-coding RNA is filed under the name soil metagenome. Its description in RNAcentral is "partial contains 5.8S ribosomal RNA, internal transcribed spacer 2, and large subunit ribosomal RNA". The stretch from base 1 to 120 matches the Rfam family "5.8S ribosomal RNA", at positions 35 to 154 of the family's 154-position model. The record is from RNAcentral.
GAUGAAGAACGCAGCAAAAUGCGAUAAGUAAUGUGAAUUGCAGAAUUCAGUGAAUCAUCGAAUCUUUGAACGCACAUUGCGCCCGCCAGUAUUCUGGCGGGCAUGCCUGUUCGAGCGUCAUUUCAACCCUCAAGCACAGCUUGGUGUUGGGACUCGCGUUAAUUCGCGUUCCCCAAAUUGAUUGGCGGUCACGUCGAGCUUCCAUAGCGUAGUAGUAAAACCCUCGUUACUGGUAAUCGUCGCGGCCACGCCGUUAAACCCCAACUUCUGAAUGUUGACCUCGGAUCAUGUAGGAAUACCCGCUGAACUUAAGCAUAUCAAUAAGCGGAGGA